GACGAACGCUGGCGGCGUGCCUAAUACAUGCAAGUUGAGCGAUGAAGCUUGGUGCUUGCCCCAAUUUGAAGAGCAGCGAACGGGUGAGUAACGCGUGGGGAAUCUGCCUUUGAGCGGGGGACAACAUUUGGAAACGAAUGCUAAUACCGCAUAAUAACUUUAAACAUAAGUUUUAAGUUUGAAAGAUGCAAUUGCAUCACUCAAAGAUGAUCCCGCGUUGUAUUGGCUAGUUGGUGAGGUAAAGGCUCACCAAGGCGAUGAUACAUAGCCGACCUGAGAGGGUGAUCGGCCACAUUGGGACUGAGACACGGCCCAAACUCCUACGGGAGGCAGCAGUAGGGAAUCUUCGGCAAUGGACGAAAGUCUGACCGAGCAACGCCGCGUGAGUGAAGAAGGGUUUCGGAUCGUAAAACUCUGUUGGUAGAGAAGAACAUUGGUGAGAGUGGAAAGCUCAUCAAGUGACGGUAACUACCCAGAAAGGGACGGCUAACUACGUG
This 497-nucleotide ribosomal RNA is filed under the name uncultured bacterium. RNAcentral describes it as "partial 16S ribosomal RNA". It matches the Rfam family "Bacterial small subunit ribosomal RNA", at positions 28 to 507 of the family's 1533-position model. The record is from RNAcentral.